GGGGAAUUUUCCGCAAUGGGCGCAAGUCUGACGGAGCAACGCCGCGUGCAGGAGGACGCUUUUCGGAGUGUAAACUGCUUUUCUGUGGGACGAGGAUGGACGGUACCACAGGAAGAAGCCCCGGCUAACUACGUGCCAGCAGCCGCGGUAAUACGUAGGGGGCGAGCGUUGUCCGGAGUUACUGGGCGUAAAGGGCAUGCAGGCGGUCGGACGCGUUUCCAGUGACAGCGGGUGGCUUACCUGCCCGAGUAUUGGAAAGACGGUUUGACUUGAGGACUCGAGAGGGACACGGAAUUCCGGGUGGAGUGGUGAAAUGCGUAGAGAUCCGGAGGAACAUCGAAGGCGAAGGCAGUGUCCUGGCGAGUAACUGACGCUGAGGUGCGAAAGCUAGGGGAGCGAAAGGGAUUAGAUACCCCUGUAGUC
RNAcentral lists this ribosomal RNA (423 nucleotides) under uncultured bacterium. Its description in RNAcentral is "bacterial SSU rRNA". It matches the Rfam family "Bacterial small subunit ribosomal RNA", at positions 356 to 795 of the family's 1533-position model. The record is from RNAcentral.